Molecule: ribosomal RNA, 1369 nt
Filed under: uncultured bacterium
Lineage: Bacteria
Description: bacterial SSU rRNA
Rfam family: Bacterial small subunit ribosomal RNA
Source: RNAcentral
GACGAACGCUGGCGGCGUGCCUAAUACAUGCAAGUAGAACGCUGAAGAGAGGAGCUUGCUCUUCUUGGAUGAGUUGCGAACGGGUGAGUAACGCGUAGGUAACCUGCCUUGUAGCGGGGGAUAACUAUUGGAAACGAUAGCUAAUACCGCAUAACAAUGGAUGACACAUGUCAUUUAUUUGAAAGGGGCAAUUGCUCCACUACAAGAUGGACCUGCGUUGUAUUAGCUAGUAGGUGAGGUAGCGGCUCACCUAGGCGACGAUACAUAGCCGACCUGAGAGGGUGAUCGGCCACACUGGGACUGAGACACGGCCCAGACUCCUACGGGAGGCAGCAGUAGGGAAUCUUCGGCAAUGGGGGCAACCCUGACCGAGCAACGCCGCGUGAGUGAAGAAGGUUUUCGGAUUGUAAAGCUCUGUUGUAAGUCAAGAACGAGUGUGAGAGUGGAAAGUUCACACUGUGACGGUAGCUUACCAGAAAGGGACGGCUAACUACGUGCCAGCAGCCGCGGUAAUACGUAGGUCCCGAGCGUUGUCCGGAUUUAUUGGGCGUAAAGCGAGCGCAGGCGGUUUGAUAAGUCUGAAGUUAAAGGCUGUGGCUCAACCAUAGUUCGCUUUGGAAACUGUCAAACUUGAGUGCAGAGGGGGAGAGUGGAAUUCCAUGUGUAGCGGUGAAAUGCGUAGAUAUAUGGAGGAACACCGGUGGCGAAAGCGGCUCUCUGGUCUGUAACUGACGCUGAGGCUCGAAAGCGUGGGGAGCGAACAGGAUUAGAUACCCUGGUAGUCCACGCCGUAAACGAUGAGUGCUAGGUGUUGGAUCCUUUCCGGGAUUCAGUGCCGCAGCUAACGCAUUAAGCACUCCGCCUGGGGAGUACGACCGCAAGGUUGAAACCCAAAGGAAUUGACGGGGGCCCGCACAAGCGGUGGAGCAUGUGGUUUAAUUCGAAGCAACGCGAAGAACCUUACCAGGUCUUGACAUCCCGAUGCUAUUUCUAGAGAUAGAAAGUUACUUCGGUACAUCGGUGACAGGUGGUGCAUGGUUGUCGUCAGCUCGUGUCGUGAGAUGUUGGGUUAAGUCCCGCAACGAGUGCAACCCCUAUUGUUAGUUGCCAUCAUUCAGUUGGGCACUCUAGCGAGACUGCCGGUAAUAAACCGGAGGAAGGUGGGGAUGACGUCAAAUCAUCAUGCCCCUUAUGACCUGGGCUACACACGUGCUACAAUGGUUGGUACAACGAGUUGCGAGUCGGUGACGGCAAGCUAAUCUCUUAAAGCCAAUCUCAGUUCGGAUUGUAGGCUGCAACUCGCCUACAUGAAGUCGGAAUCGCUAGUAAUCGCGGAUCAGCACGCCGCGGUGAAUACGUUCCCGGGCCU